UGGGGAAUAUUGCACAAUGGAGGGAACUCUGAUGCAGCGACGCCGCGUGAACGAAGAAGGCUUUCGAGUCGUAAAGUUCUUUUAUAUGGGAAGAUAAUGACGGUACCAUAAGAAAAAGCCCCGGCUAACUACGUGCCAGCAGCCGCGGUAAUACGUAGGGGGCUAGCGUUGUCCGGGAUCACUGGGCGUAAAGGGUUCGCAGGCGGAAAUGCAAGUCAGGUGUAAAAGGCAGUAGCUUAACUACUGUAAGCAUUUGAAACUGCAUAUCUUGAGAAGAGUAGAGGUAAGUGGAAUUUUUAGUGUAGCGGUGAAAUGCGUAGAUAUUAAAAAGAAUACCGGUGGCGAAGGCGGCUUACUGGGCUCAUUCUGACGCUGAGGAACGAAAGCGUGGGUAGCAAACAGG
This 403-nucleotide ribosomal RNA is filed under the name bacterium. RNAcentral describes it as "partial 16S ribosomal RNA". It matches the Rfam family "Bacterial small subunit ribosomal RNA", at positions 355 to 776 of the family's 1533-position model. The record is from RNAcentral.